This 500-nucleotide ribosomal RNA is filed under the name uncultured bacterium. Its description in RNAcentral is "partial 16S ribosomal RNA". It matches the Rfam family "Bacterial small subunit ribosomal RNA", at positions 356 to 871 of the family's 1533-position model. The record is from RNAcentral.
GGGGAAUAUUGGACAAUGGGGGCAACCCUGAUCCAGCAAUGCCGCGUGUGUGAAGAAGGUCUUCGGAUUGUAAAGCACUUUCGACGGGGACGAUGAUGACGGUACCCGUAGAAGAAGCCCCGGCUAACUUCGUGCCAGCAGCCGCGGUAAUACGAAGGGGGCUAGCGUUGCUCGGAAUGACUGGGCGUAAAGGGCGUGUAGGCGGUUUACACAGUCAGAUGUGAAAAUCCCCGGGCUUAACCUGGGAGCUGCAUUUGAUACGUGUAGACUAGAGUGUGAGAGAGGGUUGUGGAAUUCCCAGUGUAGAGGUGAAAUUCGUAGAUAUUGGGAAGAACACCGGUGGCGAAGGCGGCAACCUGGCUCAUGACUGACGCUGAGGCGCGAAAAGCGUGGGGAGCAAACAGGUUAGAUACCCUGGUAGUCCACGCUGUAAACGAUGUGUGCUAGAUGUUGGGUAACUUUGUUAUUCAGUGUCGCAGUUAACGCGUUAAAGCACACCG